RNAcentral lists this long non-coding RNA (2311 nucleotides) under Equus caballus (horse). RNAcentral's name for it is "lncRNA (ENSECAG00000056756.1)". The record is from RNAcentral. Lineage: Eukaryota; Metazoa; Chordata; Mammalia; Perissodactyla; Equidae.
CUUCUAUAGCAGAGAAAUCAAGGUAGAUAUUGAUAAAUUAUUACACCAAAAAUAUAAGAUUAAUACUCCAUUUAUUCAUUCAUUUUAAAAAGUAUUUUAAGUGUCUGUUAUGAUCCAGGGCGUAUCCUGGAUUCUAGGAACACGAGGAUGAGAAGGCCAGGCAAGGUGUCUGCCUCCCUGGUAUAUUUCAUUCUAUGGAGGAAGGGGGAAGGGAGAAGGCAGAGUUAGGCGGACCAUAAACAAAUAAAACGAGUUUAAAAAAUUCAUAGAAAGAUAUUGUGGUUUGUGGUAAAUGUGAAGGAAAAAGACUGAGUGGUAUGAUGGAAAAUAAGGGGAGCUAGACUACCUUAGGCAGGGUAAGGGGAGGCCUCUUCGAGGAGGAUGAUUUGAAAUAUGAAGCUGCUUUGUUCAGAUUCAAAUAGGAAAGAGUCAAACUUAUAAAAAGUCAGAUAGAAUACACUCUAGACAGAGGAAACAGUAAGUGUAAAGUCCUGGAAAUAAUUAUUCAAGGAAAAGAAAUCAGUCCCCUAUAGCUAGAGCAGAGUAAGUGAAGCAGAGAUUAGCAAGACAAAUGAUUUGGGGAGACAGACAAAGGACUAUGUAAGCCAUAGCAAGGAACUUGAAUUUUAUUCCACAUGAAAUUGGGAGGUAUUAAAGGGCCUUAAGUAUUAAAGUGAAGUAAUCUGAACUAUAUUUUAAAAGAUUCGUCUGGCUGCUUGAUAGCAAAUGGAAUAUCGAAGGGCAGGAAUGGAAGCACUAAGCAAGACAAACUAGACAGCCAUUACUGUGGUCCAGGCAAGAGAUGAUGUGGUGGUGACAGUGAAAAUUAAGACAAGUAACAGAUUUGAGAUUCUUUAAGGUGGAAAAGACAGAGAUUACUUAUGGAUAGAAUGAUAUGGAGUUUUGAAUUUCUUGCUUGAGGAAUUGGCUAGAUGAUAUUAACAUUUAUUGAAAUGCAGAAACCUGGGAGAGGACAAGGUUAUUUAUUUUUUGAUAGAUUGUUUAUUAUCACUGUUGUUGUUUUAUGAAUGGAAAGAGAACAGAAAUCAAGAAGUCCAUUUUUUUCUCAUGAAAUGUGAGAUAUCAAUAAGACCUAGCUCUCCAAUAAGGAACUGGAUAUAUGAUUCUGACGUUCAGAUGAGAGGUUAGGGCUAUAGAUAAAUAUUUGGGAGUAAUCAGCAUAAAGAUAUUACUGAAAACUGGGGUUGCCCAAACAUCAUUUAUAGAGAAAACAGAGCAAGAGCUAAUCAUCAGGAGAAGAAGUAGAAGCCGACCAAUCGUGCCGAGAAACAGUGGUCAGUCAGAUCAAGAAGUGGUGUCAAAGGAUAUGUAUAUUUUUUUAAAAAAGUAAAAACUGUAGUUCUCAUUUAGACACAAUAUGAAUAUGUGUCAAAACUCUAUUUAACUCAUUAAUUGAGGGAAGCAGACAGAUGUCGUAAUCAAUUCAAAGAAGAAGUCCAAGGACCACAAGUUUAGAUGGAGUAAAGGAAUGAUGAAAUAAAUGUACAAAUGGACCCCAAACUGGCUUUUUCAGAAGACGGGAGGACGGUGAGAAUUGUUUCCCCUACCAGAUAGAACUUAUUUUCAUGUCUAUAGGCAAGAAUUAUUUCCAUUGCUUUCAGUUAUUUAUAAUUCCCAGUUGUAAAAUGGCUCAAAGGCAAACCUCACAGGCCCCAUAGAAUCAGAUAACCCCAGAGGCUCCAGUAUGGCAUUAAAAGGAUAUCCAGUGGUCUCUUUUGCUUAUUGCAAAGUCAAACUAUUUCUUACAUGGAUAACCAAGAGAAUAUGGUGUCCUGGAAGCCAAGGAAAAAAAUGUUUCAGUACAAAGUGAGCAGUCAUCUGUGUUGAAUACUGCUAAGAAAUACAGGAAAAUGAAAACAGAGAAGUAUCCUUUGGAUCUGAUAACACGGAAGACUUGAAAUGACAAUUUUAGAGGGAAUGGAGAUGGAAGCCAGACCACUGGAGAGUGAAUGAAAAGGUAGGAAGUGAAGACUGGAAAAUGUAAACAACUCUUGAGAGGUUGGGUUUUUUGUUGUUACUGUUGUUUGUUUUAUCCUUCUGAGGAAAACAUUGAAAUGUGGUGGAAUCUGGAAGCAGACUGUGACGAGAGAAAUUUUUUGCUUUUUCAAUUACAAGGAAAGCCCUUGGAUUAUGUUUGAUACUCUAAAUGCUGUUAAGACAAUCCAAGAAAGAGGGAAAAACUGCUAAAGUAGAAGCGAGAGGAGCAUGAAUACAGAUCAAAAGGCAUGCAAAAGCAAAAUUAGUAAGAGCCACUGUAAAGCAGAAGGGUAUAUGUAACAUGAAGAGAGAC